RNAcentral lists this long non-coding RNA (1391 nucleotides) under Homo sapiens (human). RNAcentral's name for it is "HSALNT0293941". The record is from RNAcentral. Lineage: Eukaryota; Metazoa; Chordata; Mammalia; Primates; Hominidae.
GGAAAGAAGUGGGUGGUGUUGGCUCUGCACAUUGGAGGAAGAAAUGCACAGAGCCAGAGAAGACUUGAGCAGGGCUGGAGGCUGACAGGAAGGAGUUACUGCAGCUGGGAGAGAGGAAUGGGCUUACUGAUGGAGCACCAACCUGCUGGAGGUCAACCGUCAACUGCUGAAUCCAUAACAGUCGGGUUCUCUGUUGCCAGAGAGGUUUUAGCUUUGGAAAGAAAUGGGGCACUGUGUUCUCAGAAACAGCAGAGGGGGCUAAGAAGAAAGAGUGUGUUUUGAGGGGAGAACAGGGAAAUCGAGAGUGAAACUGUCCUUCCCACCAUCUCUUAGAGUGAGAGAGCCAGGUAGGGCUGUUGUCCUUAGACAGUGUAAAAGUUUUGAAAAGGCAGCAGAAAGUCAAAAGAGAUGACCCCAAGGAAAUGAGGAAGGCGAGUGUUAUCAUCUGUGGACUGACUACAAUUCACUCACAGCAAUAGCUAAUAUUGGAGUUCUUAUUUUUUCUAGGUGCUUGAACACAGAACAUCUCACUUAACUCUUAGCACAAUCCUUAAGAGCCAAAUGUGUGAUCCCCCUCCAGAAAAGACUUGAGUCUUUACAGUUGGAAUUUCCGUGUCGUGAGUGACAGGAUCUUGGUCCAUCACCCAGGCUGGAAUACAGUGGUGCAAUUAUAGUUCACUGCGGCCUCAAAUUCCUGCACUCAACAGAUCCUCCCACCUCAGCCUCGCAACUGGCUGGGACUACAGGGAUGCACCACCACACCUGGCUAAUUUUUAACUCUUUCGUAGGAAUGAGGUCUUGCUGUGUUGCCCAGGCUGGUCUCGAACUCUGGGGGUCAAGAGAUCCUCCCAUCUCGGCCUUCCAAAGUGUUGGGAUUACAGGCACGCACCACCACACCUGGCUACAUGCCUAAUUUAACAUGAGCUAGAGUUAGGUUUGGCCAUCCCUAGUGUUCAGUGGAGUUGUAGAGUUAGUCUCAAAUGCCAGAGUGAAAGUCCUUGCCUAUCACUCCCUCAUGGGGUAACCAUGGUGGAGCUGCCCAAUUUCCUCAUCUCAGAAGUGAAUAUAAUAGCUUCUACCUCAUAGGGUUGUUGUGAGAAUUGCAUGAGGAAACCAUGGAAAGGAAUUCAUAGAGUACUUAGAAAGGCAGUAAGUACAGGGACAGAUUUGGGUUUCAUGGGACUUGAAGACUACACAACUUCGGAAGCCCUCUUUAAUGAAAAGAAGAUAAAUCUUACUUUUGCAAGUUUUAUAUGAAUAUGUGACUAUGUGAACACAUUGCUCAGGUCCUCCCCUCGCCCGCACACAAGGUCUAGAAAAAGGCUUAUUAAAGUGAGACAUCCUGAAGCUUAAGCGUCACCAGCUUCAAGUUCAACCCACCUCUGAAUAAA